Molecule: RNA transcript, 1392 nt
Organism: Musa acuminata AAA Group (dessert banana)
Lineage: Eukaryota; Viridiplantae; Streptophyta; Magnoliopsida; Zingiberales; Musaceae
Gene name: protein DEHYDRATION-INDUCED 19 homolog 2-like
Exons: 8
Source: RefSeq, a predicted model, not a curated record
CCGAUCACUCUUAUCUCUCGCUCUCGUUCUCGCUCUGUUCCUUCUUCCUGCAAGCCCCAUCACUGCCUGUCUCUAGGGUUCAUGGAAGCCGACACCCGGAGCCACUUGUCCGCCGCUUCCAAGAGCCGCCAUCCGGCUUUGCAAUCCCGAUACGAUGCGUAUCUCGGGUUCGAGGAGUUGGAUGGAGGGGAGGACGAACCGCGACCGGAGUUCGCUUGCCCGUUCUGCUCUGAGGUCUUCGAUGUCGUGGGGCUGUGCUGCCACAUGGAUGAUGAGCAUCCGGUCGAGGCUAAGAACGGGGUGUGCCCUGUUUGUGCAGCUAGGGUUGGGAUGGACAUGGUUGGCCACAUAACUACACAACAUGCAAAUUUUUUAAAAAUACAGCGUAGGAGGAGAUACCACAAAGGAUCCUGGGGGUCCCACUCUACAAUUCUUUUGUUGAGAAAGGAUAAUACACUGGAAGGCAAUAUGCAAUCACUUGUGGGGGGUUCUUCUUUUACUCCCUCCAGUGCUGCACCUGAUCCAUUGUUGUCGUCAUUCAUUUUUAAUUUGCCAGUGAUUGAUCCAUCAGAAGAUGCCCGGCCUGAACCUUUGGAUGAACGAAGUAUGGAUGAUAAAUUUUCAGAGGAGAAAUUGGUUGAGAGUGUUGUGCCAUGUCCACUACACCAAGAUCGGGAGGAGAGUGCUCGGAGGAGCGAGUUUGCGAGCCAGAUUGUGAUCUCUACAAUAUUCAAUGAUUCAAUAUGAACUCCUCCAGCUCUCAUGGUGGCAUCAGCAGCAGCUCACGAGACAAUCUGGACAUGGUUAGAGGUUGCUGCAAUGGUGAUACCGGACCUGAACCAGAGAGCAUCGUGAACUCGAAAGACAGUUCACUUCCCUGAGCCUCUAAGAACGAUGAGGUGCCUGCCCUUCGAACGACCGCGCCGCUUGCGAAGAGCAAUCUCGAACUUCCCCUUCGUUGUUGCAGCGGAUGGCGAGCCUUACGGAGUGCAGACGAAGUUCCUGGAGUCGUAAGGACGCAGAAAAUGCACCGAUCUUUAUACCUCGGAGAUAGGGAGGCAGCGAGGAGUUGUCACAUGGAACGCAGUUCCAUGAGCUCGCUGAACUGUGCGAAGUCCACCCAUUCUUCCUCCUGUAUUCCCAAAUAUAACCCCCCGCUCCCCUCUCAGCCACGUUGUUGAUUCCGUUGCGAGUCUCUCUCGGCGACCGCUUCAACCGCAGCAUUUACCGGUCGAAGCCUUUCCUCCAAAGCCAAAGGGCUAGGGCUUUUUUCCUUCGUUCCCCUUCAUCCUCGAUGGGUGUCUUUCAACCCUGGGGCUUCCGCUUGGAGCUUUCGGAUGAGUACUAGUUGAAACGCGCGUGGAGUCCGGCUAGCGCUCAUCGAGGGAGUGG